Molecule: ribosomal RNA, 121 nt
Filed under: Tetragenococcus halophilus
Lineage: Bacteria; Bacillati; Bacillota; Bacilli; Lactobacillales; Enterococcaceae
Source: RNAcentral
AGCUACGACCAUAUCUGGGUGGAAACAGCGCCUCUCGUCCGAUCGACGGUACUUAAGCACCCAAGAGCCUGAUUCAGUACUACGGUGGGAGACUACGUGGGAACGGCAGGUGUUGUAGUUU